RNAcentral lists this long non-coding RNA (6166 nucleotides) under Marmota monax (woodchuck). The record is from RNAcentral. Lineage: Eukaryota; Metazoa; Chordata; Mammalia; Rodentia; Sciuridae.
GGCGCCUGCGCACUUCGUCUCCGCCGCUGCUGUGGUCUCGCGCCCCACUCCCCAGUUUUCCCCAGGCUCGAGCUCAGCAGCGGAGGUGGCGGUGCUGCCGGGAGCGGAUGCACCGAGUUAAAGGUGGGGGUUGGGGGUCCACAGCCUGCAGAGGGGCCAGCACACCUUUCCCAUCCUCGGGGCGCCCCCCAUCUUGCCCCCACGGCUAACGGUCGCGGGGCCGAAUGCGGCCCACCAGAAGGGCGCGGAAGGGGUGUAGGCGCGUGUCCAGGGACUAGCAGGGCUCAGCGAGGGAGGGGCGCGCCCACUAUCCCUGCUGGCCUACACCGACCCCGCCUACACCGCGGUGCAAGGACCCUAGGUGAGUAACAACCCCCUCUAGGGGAAGAAGGGAGGGGACAGGGUGGGGUGAUGGCCUGGAAAUGCAGGCAAGAAUGUACCUGCGUGUACACUCACGACCUCUGACCUUAUGAUAUCACCCCUGACCCCUGUCUGACCUCUUUUUUCAACCCCGGACCCCUGCCAACCUUGGUCUUAGGACCUUCAGUUAGAUCCCUGACCUAAUCAUAUUCUGGCCUGCUGUGAUCCUUAACCCUUGCUUUGUCCCCCCUUAAUCCAGUAUCACCCCCAAACCCUUGCAGAUUUUUCCUCAGGAUCCUUGGUCUGACCCUAGGUCCUUGUCUGACCAUGUCCUGUAUCUCAUCUUGCCCUGUCUUGAUACCCAGCUGACCCUAGUUUAUGUCUGGUUGCUUGGAUCUGUGUGUUCCCAAAACGCUUAUCAGGUGUCUGAAACUCUUCCAUUUGUGAUCUGUCUUCCUAACCCCAAUCUGAUCCAGUUCUAUCCUGAUUCCUGGCCCCUUAUUUCUGUACUUUCUCCCCACCCUGUACUAUCCCUCUGGUCUGUUUCCCACCUCCUGAUCUCCCUCUUGGCCCACCACUUUUAAACAUCCCCCUAUGUCUCCUACCUGUCCCUGUCCCCAACCCUUUCCUGUUUUUCCCUCUUUUUUUUUUUUUUUUGGUCCCAUCUCUACCUCUUUCCUAUCCUCAUUGUGUCCUGGUCUUUUCCUGUUCCUGAUCUCCCUUAUGAACCUGCCCUUUUUUCCCUUUUUUCCCUCCCUUGACAGGCUUAACCCAUCCAAGUCAUGUCUUCUUGGAUGCUGUUCUACACUGACUUUCACCCUGCCUUGCUGUUUUGUCUUCUUGUACUUUUUCUCCUGUCCUGAACCUCACUCCAUCCUCUGGCCAAUGUCCUGGCUCAUUCCCUGUCCUGCCUCUUUUUUUUUAAGCAGUACUGGGAAUUGAACCCAGUGGUGCUCUACCACUGAACUACAUCCUCCAGCCCUUAAUUUUUUUUAUAUCUUUAUUUUGUUUGUUUAGUUUUUGUGGUGCUGGGGAUCGAACCCAGUGCCUCACACUUGCUAGGCAAGUGCUCUACCACUGAGCCACCACCCUAGCCCUCCAGCCCUUAAUUUUGAAACAGGAUCUUACUAAGUUGCCCAGGCUGUCCUUGAACUUGUGAUCCUCCUGUCUCUGUCUACUGAGUUGCUGGGCCAUUGUGCCUGGCCCCGUUCUGCUUAGUGAUCUCUAUCCUGUAUCCCCUGUACUCCUUCCUUUCCUGUUCUUUUAUCCUAUUCCCAAUCUUUUUUUUUUUUCAGAGUAGAAAUUAGAAGUUUAUUAAAGGACAGCAGAAAAGACUUCUCCUGGAGGAAGAAGGGGACCCAAGAGGUGGAAUCCCCCUAUUCCCAAUCUAACACUACUUUUCUACCCCUUACCAUGCCCUUCCAUCCUAUUCAGGUCUUCCUCCUUUCUAACAUCUACUUCCCCUCCCUUCUGAGUCCAGUACAUUAUACCCUGCCCCUGAACUUGAAGGUUCCAUUGUUCCCAGGGUUUUUAAAGUAUACUCCAAAUGCUGAAGAGCAAGCAGUACUGUGAGCUCUGUGUGGUUGAUGGGAUUUUUGUAUGUGAUCUCUCCCUCCCUCAUCUCCUCUCCAGUGAUCUCCAAUAGAGCUUGCAUUUCUCUUCCUGCAGGAGGGCAUGGAAAUCUUCCUAUGUCCCCUGCCCUCCCUAAGUGUGAAAAACACCCUAAAUUAUUCAGUGACUCUCUGGGAGUCAAGAGGUGCAGGUCAGGUUUCCAGCCUUACUAUGUCCAGGGCUGUCACUAGUUGGGGGGAGGCAGGGAGAUUGAGAACAUAUGUGGGGUAGGGGCCUAGAGUAUGUAUGAAUCUUCUAGGUCACAUUACCCGCCUUUCCUGAUUUUUUUGGAGAGGGUACCAGAGGUUGAACUCAGGGGUACCCAACCUCUGAGCCACAUCCUCAGCCCUCUUUUGUAUUUUAUUUAGAGACAGGGUCUUACUGAGUUGUUUUUUUUUUUUUUUUUUUUUAAAGAUAGAGUGAGAGAGGGAGGGAGAGAGAGAGAGAGAGAGAGAAUUUUAAUAUUUAUUUUUUAGUUUUCGGCAGACACAACAUCUUUGUUUGUAUGUGGUGCUGAGGAUCGAACCCGGGCCGCACGCAUGCCAGGCGAGCGCGCUACCGCUUGAGCCACAUCCCCAGCCCCCUUACUGAGUUGUUUAGUGCCUCGCUUUUGCUGAGGCUGGCUUUGAACUCGUGAUCAUCUUGUCUCAGCCUCCUGAGCUACUGGGAUUACAGGCAUGUGCUACUACACCUGACCCCUUCCCUGUUCUUGAUCCUAGGUGUGUAAUCCCUGCUUUUCUGGCUGGAGAAAAGUCUAUUGUAGGUCAGAGGCUUGGUGGGGGUAGGUUGGAGGUUGGGGUUUAUACACUUCUCUCCUGGUGGUAAACAAUAAAAAUUUGGGUGCUAAGUCCAUCCCACCUCUGUGGGACCAGUGUGUGUGUGUGUGUGCACGUGCACGCUUUGGGGGUAGGGGGAAUGCAGGCUGUCACUGGAUGUUAGAAUCAGGCCCAUCUAAGUGGGUGUGGUUGCACACACCUGUAGUCCCAACUAUUCAGGAGGCUGAGACAGGAGAAUCACUUGGGCCAAGGAGUUUGUAGCCAGCUGGGCAACACAGCAUGAUAGUCUCAAAAAAAGUAUUUUUAGUUGUUCCAAAGGAAAUGAAAUAUUUACGUCUAUACUUAAAAAAUAUUUACAGAAUCUGUUUGCUUGAAAAUUAUGAAGUGGUAAGACAAUAAGCUAAGGAAGGCUUUAAAAGAGUCAAUAGAUUGGAUCCCUCAACAUAGAAAAGCUAUCAAUUUACAGGUUUAAUAAUUUUUUUUUGAUACCAGGGAUUGAACUCAGGGGCACUCGAACACUGAGCCACAUCCCCAGCCCUAUUUUUGUAAUUAUAAUUUAGAGACAGGGUCUCACUGAGUUGCUUAGCACCUUGUGGUUGCUGAAGCUUGUUUUGAACUCGCAAUCCUCCUGUCUCAGCCUCCCGAGAUGCUGGGAUUAUAGGCGUGCACCACUGCACCCAGUUUACAGGUUUAAUAAAUUUUUGUUAAAGUCCUAAAAAAAAAAAAAACAGAAAAAGAAUCAGGCCAUCCAGUAGUAACAAUUACAACAAUAACGUGAGAUUCCUUUGCUAUGUGAAUAUUCUUGAUUUUAAGGAUGGAUAGGGUGAAUAGUGAGAUGGUAAUGUGUUAUUCACUUAUUCCUGCAUUUCUUAUAGAGUAGUGAAUUUGAAUGAUGAAUAUCAGACCCAUCUUAUUUAUUCAAGACAUUUCUCCAAAUCUGUCAAUAACAACUAGUUGUUCUUCACUGUCCCAAUCUAUUUAGUGUCUGAGUUCUGAGUCAGGAAGAUUUCUUGGAGUUCAGACAGUGAAACCUAACUGAAGGUACUUUGUGGUCCCAUCUUACAUAGUGAGAAGUGAAAGUUCAGAUAAUCAGGGAUAAUGACUCCAACUCAAAAGGUAUUCAGGAAGGGCAUGGUGGCGCACGCCUGUAGUCCCAAUAGCUUGGGAGGCUGAGGCAAGAGGAUCACAAGUUCAAAGCCAGCCUCAACAAUUUAGUGAGGUCCUCUGCAACUUAGCAAGAGCCUAUCUCAAAAUAAAAUAUAUAAAAAGGGCUAGGGAUGUGGCUCAGUGGUUAAGUGCCCCUUAAAUGGGUUCAAUCCCUAGUAUCAAAAAAAAAAAAAAAAUCCAGGGGCUGAGGAUAUGGGUUUGUGGUAGAGUGUUUGCCUAGCAUGCACAAGACACUGGGUUCUGUCCCCAGCACAGUUUAAAAAAUUUCAAUUCCUAUAUUUGAUAGUGAGAGUUCCAACAAUUUAUCUGAAUGUAUUUGGUUUCUGCAUUUUUACUUUGGUACCUGGGAUUGAACCUAGGGAUGUUCUACCAUUGAAUUAUACCCCCAGCUCUUUUUUUUUUUUAAUUUUGAAACAGGGUCUUGCUAAGUUGCCCAGAGUGGCCUUGAAUUCCUCAGCCUGGAAUUAUAGGUGUGCCCCAUGGCGUCCUUGUUUCCUGAAUUUUUAAUUUUUAAUGUUGAGUUGAGGGAGAGGUUGGAGAUUAGGGAAAACAGCCCUGUUUCAAAAAAUGUCUGGUUUGGCAAGUAGGGAGGGUUUGGAGGCUGAGGGAUACUAGCUGUCUUUGAAAUGCAUCUGAAUAUAUUUAUAUCCUGAUUUUGGAUAGUGAGAGUUCAGACAGCUUAUCAGAGAGAAAAUAGGUCUGUUUCAAAUUUAUCCAGUGAGGUUGAGAGACACCGGCUGCAUCUCAAAAAACAAAACAAAACAACAACAACAAAAAAACCCCACAACCCAGUCCAGAUAUAUCUGUUUGAUUCCUGAGUUCUUUGGGGAGGAAUACUUGUGAUUAUGACAGCCAUCAUAACUGAGCACUUACGGUAGUCUAUUAACUGAUUUAAUGCUCACAACAGCUCUGUGUGCACUACAUACUGUUCUCAUCAUCCCCAUUUAACAAAUGAGAACAUUGAGGCACAGAGACAUUAAGUGAGUUGUCUAAGCCGGCAUACAAUAGUAAAUGACAGAGCUGGGUCAAAUCCCACAUCUACAACUUAUUAGCUGUGUAGUAUCCAUGGGAGACUCAGGACCCACUGGAGUAGGGCUGAGAGUUUGGGCCAUCUUCCAGGCUGUUAAAAAUCAUCAGAGCGGGGCUGGGGUUGUGGCUCAUGGUAGAGUGCUUGCCUAGCAUGUAUGAGGCACUGGGUUGGAUUCUCAGCACCACACAUAAGUAAAUGAAUAAAAUAAAGGUCCAUUGAUAUCUAAAAAAAAAUUUUUAAAAAAUCAUCAGAGCAAUGAUAUGUGUGGGUGACUCUGCCCUACUUGUCUAAAUGGCCAAGGAGGUCCAGCUACCUACUCCUCUCCACUUCCCUGCACCCCAAUCCAUCAAUGGAUGAGUUUAUUAUUGUUAUUACCAGUCAUUAAUGAUGUGGUGAGUUUCCUUGCACUUUGAAAUACCUUCCAGAGUUCCUUUGGCCUUUAUUAUCUUUAUACUCACCUUUUACCCAUUUUAUAGAUGAGGGAACCUAAGCCUUGAGAUUCAAUCUGCAUUGCCAGCCUCAGUCUCUUGUCCCUGUUGGCUCUGAUUUUAUAUACAUCUCACUUCCUACCGUCCUAACAUUCUUGGUGGCCCGCAAGAGGUGGCAGAGGCCAUGGCCAAGAAAACACUCCCCACUAACACCGAGCUAGUUGCCCACCUUUCUGUUGUCCGACUCCACCAGCUCUGGGCAGAGAAGGAGGGAAGAAGGGGGAAGUAAUGAAAGGGGCCUUUGUGUGCCACACCGGAAAUCUCACACCCAGGAAGAAAGGUGGGCAGGGAUGGCAGGAGGCCUUAAUAGCAUGUGACAAAGGGAACUCUCUUGCUUGGCACACCUGCCAAAAUAGGGAGAGAGCAUUCCUCACACUCUGCUCUUUCAUGUUGUAGCAGGGCUGCUGCAGGGACCUGGGUUAGGUUUGGGCCUUGAGGUCACAGAGCAGACGAUCCCAUAUGGAGCACAGGAUGUGUGGUGUGCGCUGGGACAGGCCCAGAGCCCAUGUGGUGUUGUCCUUACAUUGUAGGGACUUGGAACCCUCAAUUUCCUUGUCUGGCAUGAAGCCUGACUCCUGUCCAGAAAUGGCAAGAGGAAGAAAUGAAGGAGACCCAGCAAGGAUGUGAAGAAGCCUGAACCUCCUUCCUACUCCUCCUCCUUCAGGAGCAACCUCUGCCUGCCUUCAGACCCAAGAUUCUGAUUCUACCUGCUUUUUUUGGCGGGGGAGGUGAAU